This 481-nucleotide ribosomal RNA is filed under the name uncultured bacterium. Its description in RNAcentral is "partial 16S ribosomal RNA". It matches the Rfam family "Bacterial small subunit ribosomal RNA", at positions 28 to 507 of the family's 1533-position model. The record is from RNAcentral.
GAUGAACGCUGGCGGCGUGCUUAACACAUGCAAGUCGAACGAAGCAUUUGCGACAGAUUUUUUCGGAAUGAAGUUGCUUAUGACUGAGUGGCGGACGGGUGAGUAACGCGUGGGUAACCUGCCUUGUACUGGGGGAUAGCAGCUGGAAACGGCUGGUAAUACCGCAUAGGCGCACAAUGUUGCAUGACAUGGUGUGAAAAACUCCGGUGGUAUAAGAUGGACCCGCGUCUGAUUAGCUAGUUGGUGAGAUAACAGCCCACCAAGGCGACGAUCAGUAGCCGACCUGAGAGGGUGACCGGCCACAUUGGGACUGAGACACGGACCAGAAUCCUACGGGAGGCAGCAGUGGGGAAUAUUGCACAAUGGAGGAAACUCUGACGCAGCGACGCCGCGUGAGUGAAGAAGUAAUUCGUUAUGUAAAGCUCUAUCAGCAGGGAAGAUAGUGACGGUACCUGACUAAGAAGCGCCGGCUAAAUACGUG